AUUGAACGCUGGCGGAAUGCUUUACACAUGCAAGUCGAACGGCAGCACGGACCUCGGUCUGGUGGCGAGUGGCGAACGGGUGAGUAAUGUAUCGGAACGUGCCCAGUCGUGGGGGAUAACGUAGUGAAAAUUACGCUAAUACCGCAUACGAUCUAUGGAUGAGAGCGGGGGAUCGCAAGACCUCGCGCGAUUGGAGCGGCCGAUAUCAGAUUAGGUAGUUGGUGGGGUAAAGGCCCACCAAGCCAACGAUCUGUAGCUGGUCUGAGAGGACGACCAGCCACACUGGAACUGAGACACGGUCCAGACGCCUACGGGAGGCAGCAGUGGGGAAUUUUGGACAAUGGGCGAAAGCCUGAUCCAGCCAUUCCGCGUGCAGGAUGAAGGCCCUCGGGUUGUAAACUGCUUUUGUACAGAACGAAAAGGUUUCUACUAAUACUAGGAGCUCAUGACGGUACUGUAAGAAUAAGCACCGGCUAACUACGUGCCAGCCGCCGCAGUAA
Molecule: ribosomal RNA, 500 nt
Filed under: uncultured bacterium
Lineage: Bacteria
Description: partial 16S ribosomal RNA
Rfam family: Bacterial small subunit ribosomal RNA
Source: RNAcentral